AAAAUGGGUCUUUGGUUUGAGUCUUCUGUGUUGGUCCUGUUAUUUUAAAGCAAUAUACAUUCGGCAUACUAAGCACUUAUAAAUGUUGGGUAAAUCAAGUUGAGCAUUCAUUUUGGCUACUUUAAGUACAGAGCUCAGGCUGCAUGCUUACAUUUGCAAACUGACAGUAAAAGUGCCGUAACUACAUCAGUGGGUAAUCUUCAGUGACGGACAAAUCACUGUCACAAUGUUUCAAAUCAGAUUUUGAACUACAGGGCAUGUUAGUGCUAAUAAUACAAGACAAACUAAAAAAAAAAGAGAGGGGGUCACAUGUUUUAAAGCCCAGAAUCCUAAAGGGAAGCCAGCACAAGCACUCGGUCUAAGACACUUACAUUGCAUUAGAUGUGCCUGAAAAGGGGGAAAUGGUACUUUAUGUAUAACAUCAUUCUUAACAUUUAAGCAAAUGUAAACAUUUAUUUGCUAAAACAGCCAUGUAGUAUACCAGAACAGUCCCCCACUGCUUAUGUUCCCCAAUGCUGUAUGUUUAAAAAUACAGUGUUUUUCUGCAUCUGCUUACAUUUUGCAGAAAUCAAGCCAGCGUGGUUUUUAGUGAUUCUGGUCCACAAUAUUCUGGAGCAACUCAAAUAUUCAAGCACAAUAAAGUAGCAUUUUGCAGUUUAUCCAUAGUGAGUGCAGCAAUACAUACUUUACAAGGGCAACUGGAGUACAAACUGAAAGUGAAAUUUUAAAAAAGAAAAAAGAAGCAAUUUAAGAGCCAGGGUUAGUCUGUCACAAUUACGAAGGCUUUGUUGGUCUUUCCUCAGUGGGCAUUGCAAGCUAAAUAUAAAGUCUGACCUACCUUUUUCUUUCUCUUGGUCAGGAUGGCCAUCACACUCUUAAGGCCUUUUUGUAUACACUUUGUAUGUAGAGCCCUCAGGGUGAGAGUGAGAGAAGGCAAGAGGGAGAAAGAAAAGCAUUUAUUAUGUUUGAAAUGAAAGCUCAUGUCCAAAAGGCAUGGUUAUCAAAAUUAUGAUAAAUGUACAAAUUUAAAAACAAGUUGCUGAUUUAGUUUCUGCUCUUUUAUCGAAAAUUUUUUCAUGUUAUACGCUGUUCACUGCAUCAUAAGUGAGACUGCAUAAAUCUGAAUAUUGGACUUUUGCAGGAAAGCACAUUGUGUUCCAUGUAACACUUUCAUUUCCAUUAAAGUUUUAGAUUUAAUAUGUGCAUGUUCCGAUAAGACAAAAGGCCCUCCAUUUGAAAGGCUAACGACUGUGUUCCAACAGAAUAAUGAGAAAGAAAAAUGUUGCAAAAUGCAAAAUUGUGUAUUUUUACAGAGCCCUUAUUUUCACAAUCAAAAUGUAUUUCGUCAGUUGUAAUCAGGAUAAAACCUGUUUUUUAUUUCUCAUCAUCGUCCUCUGAGCGCAAACAGACACACUUUCUAGCGUUCACAAGUUUAAAAGACUCAACGAGGAUGUUUUCAAGAAACUUGCCAAAGCCAUCCGGUAAGUUAAUUAAAUGUGUUGGUUUGUUAUCAGAACACGGUGUAGAUGUCUGCUGCUGGUUACCGUAUAAAAACAAAGUAGAAUGCACAAGUUGAUUUACACACAUGGAUCUAAUCUGAUCUAAACUGACAAGUAUGCACAUAGUGACAAUGUCACAUUCAAGUGCUAACACAUUUUAUUAUUCUAAAAAUAGUCUUUUAAAAAAUGUUAAUAUGAAGAAUUUAUACUUGGUAGCAGUAAUAGUAGUGCAUAUAUAGUACUAUUUAAUAAUAGAAGGGGUGGUGGUGGUAGUGUCUGUGAAAAGUAUAAACUAUUGAAAAUAACUUGUUGCAGUUUAACGUAGCCUUAUUUUACGUUUCAUUUAAAUCUUGUUUUGCUCUUCUGUCUCUAGCCGAUUGGAAAUUUGUCACGAGUCCCGGUGUGAUCAAAUUUUCCUUUAGCACUUGAAUCAGGCUAAGAGAGAGUCUGGAAAAGGGGGAGGAGAAGUGAGACCCUUAAGAGAAGAUGGUCUUCAAUCAGCACUGAACAACCUACAACCUGACCCCAAGUGAAAGGCUUCUGGGCUCACUGUGUCUCUGGGAAUACUUGCCAAAAGCUGCAAAGUGAACAAUGUUGUAGAACUGAAGUGACAAUAAAAACUUUGCAUUUAAGAGAUUUGUUUGUAAUCCAUUAAUUUACAUGGCUAACACCUCAAAAUUAAUUUGUCUCUUAAAGUUUGUAGUGGGCUUGAAAGACACAUUAUUAAUUUUAUAAAAACAUAACUUGAAUGUAGCAUACACACCCUAGAUCUGCAGUGCAAAUGUUGGAGCAACCAAUGGACUACCUAAUGAUGUAUGCAGGAAACAUGCUUUAAUGGUUAAGGCUGUCUAAAUGUGCAUUUACUAUUUAGUGAAAAGCCAAGAGGUCCUCAGAUGACGAAAGGGUGGAACUCUAAGUGGUUGAAGCAAUUAGACCAGUAUUAAUGUAGUUCUAAUAAAUGUCAAAAUGUGUCCUUGCAUGCAGAAAUGUGUACUUUAAUAUUUCAUUUCAAUUCUAAAGGGUUCAAAAUCCUUAUUUUGAACCUUGCGUCCCCAUAUUUUAAACUGAUGCUACUCCUAGAGAUGGUGUCUUACUCUAAAUCUCAGACUAAAUGUCUCUUCUUUCAGCCCAGUGUAUAAGCUUAUUCGUGAUGGUUCAUAUGUAUAUUUGCCUGUUUCUGUUUUUAAAAAAGCUUGUAUAACAGGGUGUACAAUGCCAUCAUAUUCACUAGAUGGUGCCAUUGCACUGCCAGGCUGCAUAAUACCUCUUCAGAGUAUACAGGGUUUUGAUCCUUCACUCAGUUCUGUGUGUGCAAACUGACUUCCUACCACUGUAUGAGGAUGUUCAUGUAUGCAUUAUUUCCAUAUGCCUGUAAGCACCAGCUGGGGGUGGAAUAUUUGAAACAGUUUGACAGCGGUUUUGUUCCACUGUAAACUGUAACUGUACAGGUUACAUUCCAUUAUUAAAAUUUCUGACAUUCCGGGUGAGACUUUUGUUUGCACAGGGUUUAGUAGCUGGGCAAAACCAGCUCCUUCUAUCAUCUCCUAGCACUGUAAAUUAUGCAUUGUGUUUCCUGGUUGUAACCUGGUUUUCGAUGUUGUAGAAAUCAAUCUUCCUAUCUGAAUCUUGGCAAGAAAACAGAUACUUGUGUUUUCUCACACUUGAAAUCGCUCCAAAGUAGAAGCCAGUUAAUUUGUAAAACAUGACUAUACAGUUGUCGAAAAACCUAACUUUGGGGGGGGGGUUUAAAUGGUGCUAAAUCACUUGCUACAAUGCCCAUACCCUGUAGUAAUGCAAUAAUAAUGAUAAUCUCAUUCUCAUUUCAUUUCAGUACUAAAGCAAUAUUUGUUUCCAUAUUGGUGCCUGGGAGAAUGGAUGAAUCAGCUGGGAGUCAUCUGGAUGUUAGAGAUUGUCUGGAAUAAAACUAUUUCCCCAAGCUAGUGUCUGAAUUUAGGCUGCGUACAGUAAAACUGAUUUUUAUGUCUGUGCUGAGAUGUAGUAAUGUUCCCCGUGGUUGUGUGAAAUUCACUGGCUGCUCGUUUCGCUCCAAACUCAGUUUUUACAAACCAUUUGAAAAGAGGAAACUGCUUUGUUUUUGUCUCUUUUUAAGACGUCUCUGUAGGCUCCGUGUUCUGGAUAACAGAUUUAAAAAUAAACUUAAAGAUCCACAGA
This is a long non-coding RNA of Oreochromis niloticus (Nile tilapia), 3671 nucleotides long. RefSeq lists it as uncharacterized. Lineage: Eukaryota; Metazoa; Chordata; Actinopteri; Cichliformes; Cichlidae. The record is from RefSeq and is a predicted model, not a curated record. The transcript has 2 exons.